GAUGAACGCUGGCGGCGUGCCUAAUACAUGCAAGUCGAGCGAACGGACGAGAAGCUUGCUUUUCUGAUGUUAGCGGCGGACGGGUGAGUAACACGUGGAUAACCUACCUAUAAGACUGGGAUAACUUCGGGAAACCGGAGCUAAUACCGGAUAAUAUUUUGAACCGCAUGGUUCAAAAGUGAAAGACGGUCUUGCUGUCACUUAUAGAUGGAUCCGCGCUGCAUUAGCUAGUUGGUAAGGUAACGGCUUACCAAGGCAACGAUGCAUAGCCGACCUGAGAGGGUGAUCGGCCACCCUGGAACUGAGACACGGUCCAUACUCCUACGGGAGGCAGCAGUAGGGAACCUUCCGCAGUGGGCGAAAGCCUUACGGAGCAACGCCGCGUGAGUGAUGAAGGUCUUCGGAUCGUAAAACUCUGUUAUUAGGUAAGAACAUAUGUGUAAGUAACUGUGCACAUCUUGACGGUACCUAAUCAGAAAGCCACGGCUAACUACGUG
This 497-nucleotide ribosomal RNA is filed under the name uncultured bacterium. RNAcentral describes it as "partial 16S ribosomal RNA". It matches the Rfam family "Bacterial small subunit ribosomal RNA", at positions 28 to 507 of the family's 1533-position model. The record is from RNAcentral.